RNAcentral lists this ribosomal RNA (292 nucleotides) under uncultured bacterium. RNAcentral's name for it is "partial 16S ribosomal RNA". The record is from RNAcentral.
GGACUACCCGGGUAUCUAAUCCUGUUUGCUCCCCUUGCUCUCGUGCCUCAGCGUCAGGAGUAAGUUAGAGAAUCGCUUUCGCCACAGGUGUUCUUCCAUAUAUCUACGCAUUUCACCGCUACACAUGGAAUUCCAUUCUCUUCACCAGUCCUCAAGAAAUGCCGUUUCAGAUGCAGCUCCGGGGUUGAGCCCCGGAAUUUCACAUCUGACGUACAUUCCCGCCUACGCACCCUUUACGCCCAGUAAUUCCGACUAACGCUUGCACCUUCCGUAUUACCGCGGCUGCUGGCAC